RNAcentral lists this ribosomal RNA (492 nucleotides) under uncultured bacterium. RNAcentral's name for it is "partial 16S ribosomal RNA". It matches the Rfam family "Bacterial small subunit ribosomal RNA", at positions 29 to 507 of the family's 1533-position model. The record is from RNAcentral.
AGUGAACGCUGGCGGUAGGCCUAACACAUGCAAGUCGAACGGCAGCACAGUAAGAGCUUGCUCUUACGGGUGGCGAGUGGCGGACGGGUGAGGAAUACAUCGGAAUCUACUUUUUCGUGGGGGAUAACGUAGGGAAACUUACGCUAAUACCGCAUACGACCUACGGGUGAAAGCAGGGGAUCUUCGGACCUUGCGCGAUUGAAUGAGCCGAUGUCGGAUUAGCUAGUUGGCGGGGUAAAGGCCCACCAAGGCGACGAUCCGUAGCUGGUCUGAGAGGAUGAUCAGCCACACUGGAACUGAGACACGGUCCAGACUCCUACGGGAGGCAGCAGUGGGGAAUAUUGGACAAUGGGCGCAAGCCUGAUCCAGGCAUACCGCGUGGGUGAAGAAGGCCUUCGGGUUGUAAAGCCCUUUUGUUGGGAAAGAAAAGCAGCAGGUUAAUACCCCGCUGUUCUGACGUUACCCAAAGAAUAAGCACCGGCUAACUUCGUG